Molecule: ribosomal RNA, 465 nt
Filed under: uncultured Klebsiella sp.
Lineage: Bacteria; Pseudomonadati; Pseudomonadota; Gammaproteobacteria; Enterobacterales; Enterobacteriaceae
Description: bacterial SSU rRNA
Rfam family: Bacterial small subunit ribosomal RNA
Source: RNAcentral
CCUACGGGAGGCAGCAGUGGGGAAUAUUGCACAAUGGGCGCAAGCCUGAUGCAGCCAUGCCGCGUGUGUGAAGAAGGCCUUCGGGUUGUAAAGCACUUUCAGCGGGGAGGAAGGCGGUGAGGUUAAUAACCUCAUCGGUUGACGUUACCCGCAGAAGAAGCACCGGCUAACUCCGUGCCAGCAGCCGCGGUAAUACGGAGGGUGCAAGCGUUAAUCGGAAUUACUGGGCGUAAAGCGCACGCAGGCGGUCUGUCAAGUCGGAUGUGAAAUCCCCGGGCUCAACCUGGGAACUGCAUUCGAAACUGGCAGGCUAGAGUCUUGUAGAGGGGGGUAGAAUUCCAGGUGUAGCGGUGAAAUGCGUAGAGAUCUGGAGGAAUACCGGUGGCGAAGGCGGCCCCCUGGACAAAGACUGACGCUCAGGUGCGAAAGCGUGGGGAGCAAACAGGAUUAGAUACCCUAGUAGUC